This is a long non-coding RNA of Pteropus alecto (black flying fox), 268 nucleotides long. RefSeq lists it as uncharacterized. The record is from RefSeq and is a predicted model, not a curated record. The transcript is spliced from 3 exons. NCBI's taxonomy places the organism in Eukaryota, Metazoa, Chordata, Mammalia, Chiroptera, Pteropodidae.
UCCCAGAAUCCUUUCGCCCGAGACUUCAUUUCCCAGAAAGCUUCUGGAGUCCCCACCCCGGAACUGUGCUCUUCUUUUUUUUAAAGCGGAAAGUGGGACAAAAGCGUCAGUAAAGGCGGUUUCUGAAGGGGUAGAAUGGCAUUGUUCCAUCCAGUGCCUGUGUGAGUCCUAUUUUUCUUGGCAACUCCAUCACGUGCAAACCGUGGAGUGUGUUGACAUCCUGGGACUGCUGUUGCUGGUGGCAGUUUCUGUGGGUCACGAAUUUGGG